RNAcentral lists this long non-coding RNA (3625 nucleotides) under Fukomys damarensis (Damara mole-rat). Its description in RNAcentral is "lncRNA (ENSFDAG00000030492.1)". The record is from RNAcentral. Lineage: Eukaryota; Metazoa; Chordata; Mammalia; Rodentia; Bathyergidae.
AUGAAAGAAAAAUGCAUGACCGAUCUGCCUUCCAUGCAACCACAGGCCCACUGGAGAGGAGUCCCACAAGCUUCAGCAAAGGGGAAGGUUCCACCCUUGGCCGGUCAGAGCGCAGAGUGCUGGUUUGCCAUGGUAGGGCUCCACUUCAGAUGGGAACGCCAGCUCUCCUCUGCCCCACAGCACCUGCUGCUGACACAGCUCUUGGUUACAGGAGGGCAAAGGAGAGAGUACAGUGGGUCAGGGUUGACGCACAGCCCUAACCCAAUGGCAGCUCACUCCUACACUCGCCAAUCUGCGCCUCUUUCGCCUGGGACCUGUGGAAUGACACCUUGGGCGAGAGCUGCAAGAACAGACCUGCUAAGAGUGUGAGCGCUCCCUGCCCAGAGCAAAACCCAGACACCUAAGAACAGAAGACCGCCGGUGGGAGCGGUUAAGAGACAAAGGAGGCUAGAAAACAAACUGUCUCGACCAUAGGGAUUCAACCCAGCUUGAGGGGCACCGAGUACCUUACACUGGGUUGGAUCCAGGAACUGUGGAAAAUAAGGAAAAGUGGGCCCCUAAACUGGAGACACGUGCAGUCAGGUGUGUCUGUAAACACCACCAACCACCAGUGGAGUGGUGAAGAGAUACGGGGUAGGAUGGGAGGGCGGAGGAAGGGAGAGAAAAGGGGAGGUGAGGAGGAGGAAGGAGGGACGGGGAGGGGAAACAAGCAUGGGGAUGUGCGGGAGGUAAGGGAGGAGAGGGGAAGCAGGGGCCGUGCUGAGGGUGAGAGAGGUGAGGGGACUCUGGAGGCAUGAGAGGUGGUCUGGGGAGGAGACCGCACCUGGGUAUGCACAGGGAGAAGGGGCAGGGUUUGUUCAGGCAGGAGGAGGGAGGAGCCCAAGUCAGCUCACCCUCAACUCCUCUGGAAAAUGUGUGCUGGUGACAGGCAAAAAAGGUCUUUCAAGGGUGCAGGGCCCUGCUUUUAACAACUGGGAGACCCAGGCAAGGCCCUGAGAAGGGUCCAGGCAGGGACAGGGAGAAGGUCUGGUUGGAAGGAGGCUACUGGGCCUGGAAACUAGGACGGGAGGGACUAAGCGACUGUGGUGGGGCAAGGUGUUGGCAUGGGUGGUGAGACCACAGGUUCCCAGUGGCUUCUUGGGAGAUGCGAUCAGGAGCUGAUCAGUGAGCAGACGGCCUGAUCUCCUCCCUGGAACCUUCACAGAGCUUUUUCCGGGGUUCCAGAGUGGAAAUGGAGGGUCUCGUCAAAACUCAGUAUCAGCCCUGAAGGAAGUGCUCUCACUUGGCAAACUCCUUUUUUUUUUUUGGUUUUUUUGAGACAGGGUCUCACUAUGUAGUCGAGACUGACCUGGAACUCGCUAUGUAGCCCAGGCUGGUCUUGAACUCACAGCAAUCCUCCUGCCUCAGCCUCCUGAGUUCUGGGAUAACAGGUGUGUACCACCACGCCCGGCAGCAAACUCCUUUUGGUCUGAGUGUCAUUUCUUCUGCUCCUCAAAGCCCUACCUAGCACCUCAGCAGGACCUUGCACAGGCCCAUGAGGGCACCGAGGGGACUGGCUCCUCUGGGGACGGCUGUGCCUCUGGGCCGCAGAGAUGGUGGGGCUGUCCUGACCCAGCAGUUUCCCACACUAUCCCCCACUCUGUGGGCGACCUGUUCCCAGAAGUCACCCAUGCCUUCCACCCCACCCUUCCAAGUGACGAAAGAGGUCCAGAGCUCUGCAGGUGACAUACUGCUUUCCGCAGAAGUGGCGGCUGAACUCUGGCUCCCAGCCCUGAUAAAUCAGUCUGCUGACGCAGCUGCUGCCCCACAGUCAGUCUUACUCGUGUCAUAUCGGCUGCUGCCGGCACAGAGGUCCCAAGCCCGAACUUCAGGGCUGUAACCACAUCCCCUUGCGCCUUCAGUGAAACCAAGAAAUAGAGGAAACCUCUGCUGGUAGGUGACUAAAUGAAGCUGGCUCUGUGCUUCCAGCCUUGCACUGGAGCUGGAGUUCCUCUCUGAAGCAGCUCCGCUGGGGGCUCCACAUCUGUGCCCCAACGCCCUGAAACACUGCCCACAGGAAAGGACAGGCGUGGGGGACUGCACAACCCCCACCCUCGGUACGCCUCGAAUCUCCUCUCCAUGCUCCUGGGUCUGUCUGUGGGCUGUGGCCUGAGGAGACCCUCAGAGCGACUGAGGGGUCUGUCACUGUGCACCAAGCACAGACUCAAGACCCAAGGAAGAGCGACGUGCUCUCUCGGAGUUUUUAAGUGCACAUAUGCAAACUCCUGUGAAAAUGUCACAAGUCAAUGAUAGAUUAAAAUUUUUUCUUGCUGCUAGAGUUUGAACCCAAGGCUCAUGCUUGCUAGGCUAGAGCGCUGCAUUAAGCUAUUCCCCCAGCCCCUUAAACUUUGUAUUAUAAAAUAUUUCAGCUGGGCAUGGUAGCGCAUGUAGUUCUAUAAUUCUAGUACUCUGACAGGCAGGAGGAUUACAAGUUCACACCAAGCCCGGGCAACUUAGCUUAACAACAUGUGUCUUAAAAAAAUAAAAGGGGCUGGACAUGUGGCUCAGUUCCAUCCCCAAUAUCACAAAAAUGAAUGGAGGAACGAACAAACGAACACCUAUACCCAAGAAGCUAUCAAACAUGAGUGCGCUCACCACUCAGUUCUGUCAGCUUGAACACUGCAAUUUGUUCCAGGUUUAUUUUUAACAAAUAAAAAUGGUACAACUGCCCUGAGCCAACCCUGCCUGGUUCCAUUCCCUCCCCAGGGUAAUCAUUACAAGUCUCUUUCCCACAGUUAGGGUUUUAGUAUUGGGGAUUGACUAUGGUCUUUGCUGAGCUACAUCCCCAGCUCUUAAACUUUUUCUCAUUUUGAGACAGAGCCUAAGUCACUAAGCGGCCCAGGCUGGGCUAGAACUUGCAGUCCUCCUGCCUCAGCCUUCCAGAGUGCUAGAAUCAGAGGCAUGUGCCCAUCUAUUUGGUGUUUCUCUAUCCAGGAAGGCUUAUCCCUUUACCAGGUGUGUACGGAUUCAUAAGCAAUACACAGGCUGGCCGUGCAUGUUUUGCCUGUGUCCUGAAGUGUACUAAGCAUCUCUCACAGCCUUCUGCAGCUUGUCUGUUCACCCACGAUUACAACUGAACACAGCUCUAGUUCGUACAUUUUCACUGAGGCCCAGUAUUCACCACUGUCUAAACCGGCCACAUACCAGGCGUAUCUAUGUUCAGUAAAGAGACACCAAAAGAUUAAGAGUAUGCAGUCUAGAGCCGCCUUACCUGGCUUGUACCCUAGCUCUGCCAAUUAUGGGCUAUGUGACCCUGGGACAGUUACUCAACCUUUCUGUACCAAGUAUCUUGUCAGUAAAGUGAGAUGGAUAACAAAACAACACACCUUACUGGAAUUUUAUGAGACUAACAUGAAUAAACAUGUUCACAAUGGGGCUGUAAUUUGUAGAUCUCACUCACUGUAUUGCUUUUUUUUUGGUAACAGGGAUCAAACUCGGGACCUUGUGCUUGGGAGGCAGACAACAGAACCACUGAGCUAAACCCCUGGCCAUCACUGGGUUGAUUUCUAUAAAUUUUAUCAGUAAAAAGACUGACCAAAGUGAUUAGAUCCUUUUGUACCGUGGCAGGCUGAAGCCACUUGAUGGG